GACGAACGCUGGCGGCGUGCCUAACACAUGCAAGUUGAGCGACGAACCAGGGCUUGCCCUGGGGCAAAGCAGCGAACGGGUGAGUAACACGUGGGUAACCUACCCCGAUAACCGGGACAACCCGAGGAAACUCGGGCUAAUACCGGAUGUGCUCACUGGACUUCGGUUCAGUGCGUAAAGGAAGCUUCGGCCUCCGUAUCGGGAGGGGCCCGCGGCCCAUUAGUUUGUUGGUGAGGUAACGGCUCACCAAGACCGCGAUGGGUAGCUGGUCUGAGAGGACGAUCAGCCACACGGGGACUGAGACACGGCCCAGACUCCUACGGGAGGCAGCAGUGGGGAAUCUUGCGCAAUGCGCGAAAGCGUGACGCAGCAACGCCGCGUGGGGGAAGAAGGCCUUCGGGUUGUAAACCCCUUUCAGGAGGGACGAAGGUUCGGCGGUGAAUAGCCGUCCGGACUGACGGUACCUCCACAAGAAGCCCCGGCUAACUACGUG
Molecule: ribosomal RNA, 493 nt
Filed under: uncultured bacterium
Lineage: Bacteria
Description: partial 16S ribosomal RNA
Rfam family: Bacterial small subunit ribosomal RNA
Source: RNAcentral